GAUCCUGGCUCAGGGUGAACGCUAGCUACAGGCUUAACACAUGCACGUCGAGGGGCAGCAUGAACUUAGCUUGCUAAGUUUGAUGGCGACCGGCGCACGGGUGAGUAACACGUAUCCAACCUGCCGAUGACUCGGGGAUAGCCUUUCGAAAGAAAGAUUAAUACCCGAUGGCAUAGUUCUUCCGCAUGGUAGAACUAUUAAAGAAUUUCGGUCAUCGAUGGGGAUGCGUUCCAUUAGGUUGUUGGG
RNAcentral lists this ribosomal RNA (246 nucleotides) under uncultured bacterium. RNAcentral describes it as "partial 16S ribosomal RNA". It matches the Rfam family "Bacterial small subunit ribosomal RNA", at positions 15 to 253 of the family's 1533-position model. The record is from RNAcentral.